RNAcentral lists this ribosomal RNA (168 nucleotides) under Metschnikowia viticola. Its description in RNAcentral is "5.8S ribosomal RNA". The stretch from base 2 to 151 matches the Rfam family "5.8S ribosomal RNA". From Rfam's summary of the family: 5.8S ribosomal RNA (5.8S rRNA) is a component of the large subunit of the eukaryotic ribosome. It is transcribed by RNA polymerase I as part of the 45S precursor that also contains 18S and 28S rRNA. Functionally, it is thought that 5.8S rRNA may be involved in ribosome translocation. Lineage: Eukaryota; Fungi; Ascomycota; Pichiomycetes; Serinales; Metschnikowiaceae. The record is from RNAcentral. RNAcentral also lists the same sequence under 2 other names.
AAACUUUCAACAACGGAUCUCUUGGUUCUCGCAUCGAUGAAGAACGCAGCGAAUUGCGAUACGUAAUAUGACUUGCAGACGUGAAUCAUUGAAUUUUUGAACGCACAUUGCGCCUUAAGGUAUUCCUCAAGGCAUGCGUGAAUGAGCGAUAUUUACUCUCAAACCCUA